This 118-nucleotide ribosomal RNA is filed under the name Salmonella enterica subsp. enterica serovar Senftenberg. RNAcentral describes it as "partial 23S ribosomal RNA". The stretch from base 1 to 106 matches the Rfam family "Bacterial large subunit ribosomal RNA", at positions 2820 to 2925 of the family's 2925-position model. RNAcentral also lists the same sequence under 1 other name. The record is from RNAcentral. Lineage: Bacteria; Pseudomonadati; Pseudomonadota; Gammaproteobacteria; Enterobacterales; Enterobacteriaceae.
GAGUCUCCUGAAGGAACGUUGAAGACGACGACGUUGAUAGGCCGGGUGUGUAAGCGCAGCGAUGCGUUGAGCUAACCGGUACUAAUGAACCGUGAGGCUUAACCUUACAACGCCAAAG